Molecule: long non-coding RNA, 706 nt
Organism: Arachis duranensis
Lineage: Eukaryota; Viridiplantae; Streptophyta; Magnoliopsida; Fabales; Fabaceae
Exons: 3
Source: RefSeq, a predicted model, not a curated record
GGCUCUUCCUCUCUGGUGUGUGUUAUUAUCCAUGACUAUUAACAAGUUUUAGGGUCAAACAUAUAGAACUAUACUUGCCCAAGCAUGUUUUUACACACGAGUUAGACCUUGCAAGGAAUGCCCCUGCCAGGGUUUCGUUAGUUUUCUUGCUCUUUGCGGCAUCCACAACUACAUUAGGGCAAUCAGUGACGGGUUUUGAGUGACUGGAAGGGUAAAGUUGAGGGUUUCUUCAUUGGUCUACCUUUUGGUUUGCAUUACGUUUUCAAGCGUGAAUGGAUUUUGGAGUUUUCCAUUGUUCAGGGACAUGGAUUGAAGACCAAAUGCAUUAGAUGAAUCUGAAAUUUUUACAAGGGUAUACUGUAUUUGAAGCUUGCUAAUGAGGAAUUUGUUUGCCAUUGGUAACGGAUGCAAGAAGUUAAGAAAUCUAAUACUAAGUCGCAAGGGUUUGGAAGCAAUUGCUACCGGAUGCAAGGAACUUACAUAUCUUGAAGUCAAUGGAUGUCACAAUAUUCGAUCUUUGUGGCUAGAAUCCAUUGGAAGAUCUUGCCAGUUUGUAUGUAAAAUAAGGAAUGAAUUAACCAUUCAAUAAAUAGGCAACAUAAGGAAGCAUGAGACACAUGUUUGGCCUCUUUAUAUUUACAUUUGGUCAAGUUUUUCAUUGCUUGCUAUGUGUGUUUCUCUGUUUAUUUUUCGUUUGUGGUGCUAA